AGUGAACGCUGGCGGUAGGCCUAACACAUGCAAGUCGAACGGCAGCACAGUAAGAGCUUGCUCUUACGGGUGGCGAGUGGCGGACGGGUGAGGAAUACAUCGGAAUCUACUUUUUCGUGGGGGAUAACGUAGGGAAACUUACGCUAAUACCGCAUACGACCUACGGGUGAAAGCAGGGGAUCUUCGGACCUCGCGCGAUUGAAUGAGCCGAUGUCGGAUUAGCUAGUUGGCGGGGUAAAGGCCCACCAAGGCGACGAUCCGUAGCUGGUCUGAGAGGAUGAUCAGCCUCACUGGAACUGAGACACGGUCCAGACUCCUACGGGAGGCAGCAGUGGGGAAUAUUGGACAAUGGGCGCAAGCCUGAUCCAGCCAUACCGCGUGGGUGAAGAAGGCCUUCGGGUUGUAAAGCCCUUUUGUUGGGAAAGAAAAGCAGCAGGUUAAUACCCCGCUGUUCUGACGGUACCCAAAGAAUAAGCACCGGCUAACUUCGUG
This 492-nucleotide ribosomal RNA is filed under the name uncultured bacterium. RNAcentral describes it as "partial 16S ribosomal RNA". It matches the Rfam family "Bacterial small subunit ribosomal RNA", at positions 29 to 507 of the family's 1533-position model. The record is from RNAcentral.